RNAcentral lists this ribosomal RNA (244 nucleotides) under uncultured bacterium. RNAcentral's name for it is "partial 16S ribosomal RNA". It matches the Rfam family "Bacterial small subunit ribosomal RNA", at positions 15 to 239 of the family's 1533-position model. The record is from RNAcentral.
GAUCCUGGCUCAGGACGAACGCUGGCGGCGUGCCUAACACAUGCAAGUCGAACGAGAAUCUUUGGAAUGAUUCUUUUCGGGAUGAAUUCCAAAGAGGAAAGUGGCGGACGGGCGAGUAACGCGUGAGUAACCUGCCCAUAAGAGGGGGAUAAUCCAUGGAAACGUGGACUAAUACCGCAUAUUGUAGUUAAGUUGCAUGACUUGAUUAUGAAAGAUUUAUCGCUUAUGGAUGGACUCGCGUCAG